UAAAAGCCUAACUGCUUCGGCGGACAGGUUGCAUUGAUUAGACCGAAACCAAUGCGUCUUCGGACGGUUUUGUGGUGAAUCAUAAUCACUUGCGGAUCGCACGCUUCGGCGGCGACGUUUCAUUCAAGUUUCUGCCCUAUCAGCUUUGGAUGGUAGGGUAUUGGCCUACCAUGGCUUUAACGGGUAACGGGGAAUUGGGGUUCGAUUCCGGAGAGGGAGCCUGAGAG
RNAcentral lists this ribosomal RNA (227 nucleotides) under Phaeophyceae sp. RNAcentral's name for it is "partial 18S ribosomal RNA". It matches the Rfam family "Eukaryotic small subunit ribosomal RNA", at positions 174 to 402 of the family's 1831-position model. Lineage: Eukaryota; Phaeophyceae. The record is from RNAcentral.